RNAcentral lists this unclassified non-coding RNA (525 nucleotides) under Ascomycota sp. KO-2013. RNAcentral describes it as "Phialocephala sp. KO-2013 partial contains ITS1, 5.8S rRNA and ITS2". The stretch from base 186 to 339 matches the Rfam family "5.8S ribosomal RNA". The record is from RNAcentral. Lineage: Eukaryota; Fungi; Ascomycota.
AAGGAUCAUUACAAGUGAGGCUACCGAACGUUGGAAACAGCGGUUAGGAGCUUACACCCACCCGUGUUUACAUACUAUUGUUGCUUUGGCGGGCCGUGGCCUCCACUGCGGGCUCUGCUCGUGUGUGCCCGCCAGAGAACCAAACUCUGAAUGUUAGUGAUGUCUGAGUACUAUCUAAUAGUUAAAACUUUCAACAACGGAUCUCUUGGUUCUGGCAUCGAUGAAGAACGCAGCGAAAUGCGAUAAGUAAUGUGAAUUGCAGAAUUCAGUGAAUCAUCGAAUCUUUGAACGCACAUUGCGCCCUGUGGUAUUCCGCAGGGCAUGCCUGUUCGAGCGUCAUUUAACCACUCACGCCUAGCGUGGUAUUGGGGCACGCGGUCUCCGCGGCCCUCAAAGUUAGUGGCGGCGCCGGUGGGCUCUAAGCGUAGUACAUACUCCCGCUAUAGAGUUCCCCCGGUGGCUCGCCAGAACCCCCAAUUUUUACAGGUUGACCUCGGAUCAGGUAGGGAUACCCGCUGAACUUAA